Molecule: ribosomal RNA, 580 nt
Filed under: Rhodopseudomonas sp. JA783
Lineage: Bacteria; Pseudomonadati; Pseudomonadota; Alphaproteobacteria; Hyphomicrobiales; Nitrobacteraceae
Description: bacterial SSU rRNA
Rfam family: Bacterial small subunit ribosomal RNA
Source: RNAcentral
GGGCGUAGCAAUACGUCAGUGGCAGACGGGUGAGUAACGCGUGGGAACGUACCUUUUGGUUCGGAACAACACAGGGAAACUUGUGCUAAUACCGGAUAAGCCCUUACGGGGAAAGAUUUAUCGCCGAAAGAUCGGCCCGCGUCUGAUUAGCUAGUUGGUGAGGUAAUGGCUCACCAAGGCGACGAUCAGUAGCUGGUCUGAGAGGAUGAUCAGCCACAUUGGGACUGAGACACGGCCCAAACUCCUACGGGAGGCAGCAGUGGGGAAUAUUGGACAAUGGGGGCAACCCUGAUCCAGCCAUGCCGCGUGAGUGAUGAAGGCCCUAGGGUUGUAAAGCUCUUUUGUGCGGGAAGAUAAUGACGGUACCGCAAGAAUAAGCCCCGGCUAACUUCGUGCCAGCAGCCGCGGUAAUACGAAGGGGGCUAGCGUUGCUCGGAAUCACUGGGCGUAAAGGGUGCGUAGGCGGGUUUCUAAGUCAGAGGUGAAAGCCUGGAGCUCAACUCCAGAACUGCCUUUGAUACUGGAAGUCUUGAGUAUGGCAGAGGUGAGUGGAACUGCGAGUGUAGAGGGUGAAAUUCGU